CAGCAGCCACGGUAAUACGAAGGGGGCUAGCGUUGCUCGGAAUUAUUGGGCGUAAAGGGCUCGCAGGCGGUUUCUUAAGUCUGAUGUGAAAGCCCCCGGCUCAACCGGGGAGGGUCAUUGGAAACUGGGAAACUUGAGUGCAGAAGAGGAGAGUGGAAUUCCACGUGUAGCGGUGAAAUGCGUAGAGAUGUGGAGGAACACCAGUGGCGAAGGCGACUCUCUGGUCUGUAACUGACGCUGAGGAGCGAAAGCGUGGGGAGCGAACAGGAUUAGAUACCCGUGUAGUCCCUGUCUCUUAUAC
RNAcentral lists this ribosomal RNA (301 nucleotides) under uncultured bacterium. Its description in RNAcentral is "partial 16S ribosomal RNA". It matches the Rfam family "Bacterial small subunit ribosomal RNA", at positions 509 to 807 of the family's 1533-position model. The record is from RNAcentral.